This 253-nucleotide ribosomal RNA is filed under the name uncultured bacterium. RNAcentral describes it as "partial 16S ribosomal RNA". It matches the Rfam family "Bacterial small subunit ribosomal RNA", at positions 524 to 776 of the family's 1533-position model. The record is from RNAcentral.
UACGUAGGGUGCGAGCGUUGUCCGGAAUUAUUGGGCGUAAAGGGCUCGUAGGCGGUUUGUCACGUCGGGAGUGAAAACUCGGGGCUUAACCCCGAGCCUGCUUCCGAUACGGGCUGACUAGAGGUAUGCAGGGGAGAACGGAAUUCCUGGUGUAGCGGUGAAAUGCGCAGAUAUCAGGAGGAACACCGGUGGCGAAAGCGGCCACCUGGACUGUACCUGACGCUGACACGCGAAAGCUAGGGGAGCGAACGGG